RNAcentral lists this ribosomal RNA (253 nucleotides) under uncultured bacterium. RNAcentral's name for it is "partial 16S ribosomal RNA". It matches the Rfam family "Bacterial small subunit ribosomal RNA", at positions 524 to 776 of the family's 1533-position model. The record is from RNAcentral.
GACGAACUGUGCAACCGUUAUUCGGAAUCACUGGGCUUAAAGGGUGCGUAGGCGGUCUUGUAAGUAGGGUGUGAAAGCCCCCGGCUCAACCGUGGAACUGCUGGGUAUACUGGUUGUCUUGAGCCAGCUAGGGGCGAGCGGAACAGACGGUGGAGCGGUGAAAUGCGUAGAUAUCGUCUGGAACGCCGAAGGUGAAAACAGCUCGCUGGGGCUGCGCUGACGCUGAGACACGAAAGCCAGGGGAGCGAACGGG